Molecule: long non-coding RNA, 2883 nt
Organism: Cyanistes caeruleus (blue tit)
Lineage: Eukaryota; Metazoa; Chordata; Aves; Passeriformes; Paridae
Source: Ensembl
CCCCUCCCCCCACAAUAUCUGGGUGUCACAGGUGUGUCCCCAAUCCCAGGUAACCCAUUCCCGGCGAGUUUUUUCCCUUUUUUUUACAUUUUUCCCAUUUUUAAUUGCCAAUUUUCCUAUUUAUUUUUUGUUGUUUUUACCAUUUUUUUGCCAUUUUUCCUCUUUUUUUGCUGUUUUUCUCAUUUUUGGGUUUUUUUCCCCCAUUUUUUGGCCAUUUUUCCCAUUUUUUUUUCUGUUCUUCCCAUUUCUGUGGAUGCUUUUCCCAUUUUUUUUGCCGUUUUCCCUAUUUUUAUUCCCAUUUUUUUGGCGUCUUCCCCAUUUCCUUCAGUUUUUCCCAUUUUUUUUGGUUUUUUUCCCAUUCUUUGCCUGUUUUUCUAUUUUUUGGUUGGUUUUCUCUUUUUUUUUGCCAUUUUUCCCAUUUUUUUCGCCAUUUUUCCCAUUUUUCGCCCAUUUGUCCCAUUUUUUUGCCCUUUCCCCCCAUUUUUCUUGGUUUUAUUCCCAUUUUUUUCUGUUUUUUCCUUUAUUUUUUUGCCAUUUUCCCCAUUUUUUUGCCAUAUUUCCUCAUUUUUCUGCCUGUUUUCCCAUUUUUUGGUUGUUUUUCUCAUUUUUUUUGGUUUUUUCCCCAUUUUUACGGUUUUUAUUCCCAUUUUUUCCCCGUUUUUUCCCAUUUUUUCCCGUUUUUCCCAUUUUCCCCGGGUUUUUGCCCAGUUUCAGGUACCUGGUGUCCUGGUGCAUGCCCAGGCAGCGGCUGCAGCAGUACCUGGCCCCGCAGGUGACACAGGUGUGUCCCCAACCCCAGCUCACCCAUUCCCCUGCCCUUUAUUCACAUUUUUCCUGGUUUUAUUCCCAUUUUUUUUGACAUUUUUCCCAUUUUUUGCCUGUUUUUCCCCAUUUUAUUGCCAUUUUUCCUAUUUUUUGCCUGUUUUUCCCAUUUUUUUGCCAUUUUUCCCAUUUUUUGCCAUUUUUCCCAUUUUUUGCCAUUUCUCCCAUUUUUUGCCUGUUUUUCCCCAUUUUAUUGCCAUUUUUCCUAUUUUUUGGUUGUUUUUCCCAUUUUUUUCCCCUUUCCCCCCAUUUUUCUUAUAUUUAUUGCCGUUUUUUCGCCAUUUUUCCCAUUUUUUUUCCCAUUUUUUGCCAUUUUUUCCCCGUUUUUCCCAUUUUUUCCCCGUUUAUUCACAUUUUUUUGCCAUUUUUCCUAUUUUUUGGCUGUUUUUCCCAUUUUUUUCCCCUUUCCCCCCAUUUUUCUUAUUUUUAUUCCCGUUUUUUCGCCAUUUUUGCCAUUUUUUUGCCAUUUUUCUUAUUUUUUUGCCGUUUUUCUCAUUUUUUGCCUGUUUUUCCCCAUUUUAUUGCCAUUUUCCCCAUUUUUUUCCCAUUUGUCCCAUUUUUUUGCCCUUUUCCCCCAUUUUUCUAGUUUUUAUUCCCAUUUUCUUGCCUUUUUUCCUAUUUUUUCCUUGUUUUUUCUCCAUUUUUUUGCUGUUUAUUCCCAUUUUUGGGGUUUUUAUUCCCAUUUUUUCCCCGUUUUUCCCCAUUUUUUCCCCGUUUUUCCCAUUUUUCCCCCGUUUUUCCCAUUUUCCCCGGGUUUUUGCCCAGUUCUGGGUACCUGGUGUCCUGGUGCGUGCCCAGGCAGCGGCUGCAGCAGUACCUGGCCCCGCAGGUGACACAGGUGUGUCCCCAACCCCAGGUCACCCAUUCCCCCGCCCUUUAUUCACAUUUUUCCUGGUUUUAUUCCCAUUUUUUUCCCGUUUUUCCCAUUUUUUGCCUGUUUUCCCCAUUUUUUUGCCAUUUUUCCUAUUUUUUGGUUGUUUUUCCCAUUUUUUUCCCCUUUCCCCCCAUUUUUCUUAUUUUUAUUCCCGUUUUUUCGCCGUUUUUCCCAUUUUUUUGCUGUUUUUUUCCAUUUUUGCCUGUUUUUCCCCAUUUUAUUGCCACUUUCCCCAUUUUUUUCCCAUUUGUCCCAUUUUUUUCCCUUUCCCCCCAUUUUUCUUGUUUUUAUUCCCAUUUUUUUGCUGUUUAUUCCCAUUUUUGGGGUUUUUAUUCCCAUUUUUCCCCCGUUUUUUCCCGUUUUUCCCCCGUUUAUUCCCAUUUUUCCCCGUUUUUCCCAUUUUCCCCGGGUUUUUGCCCAGUUCUGGGUACCUGGUGUCCUGGUGCGUGCCCAGGCAGCGGCUGCAGCAGUACCUGGCCCCGCAGGUGACACAGGUGUGUCCCCAACCCCAGGUCACCCAUUCCCCUGCCCUUUAUUCACAUUUUUCCUGGUUUUAUUCCCAUUUUUUUUGCCAUUUUUCCCAUUUUUUGCCUGUUUUUCCCCAUUUCAUUGCCAUUUUUCCUAUUUUUUGGCUGUUUUUCCCAUUUUUUUCCCCUUUCCCCACAUUUUUCUUAUUUUUACUCCCAUUUUUUUUGCCAUUUUUCCCAUUUUUUUGCCGUUUUUCCCAUUUUUUGCCUGUUUUUCCCCAUUUUAUUGCCAUUUUCCCCAUUUUUUCCCAUCUGUCCCAUUUUUUUCCCUUUCCCCCCAUUUUUCUUGUUUUUCUUCCCGUUUUUUUGCCGUUUAUUCCCAUUUUUGGGGUUUUUAUUCCCAUUUUUUUGCCGUUUUUUCGCCAUUUUUUUGCCAUUUUUCCUAUUUCUUGGUUGUUUUUCCCAUUUUUUUUCCCUUUCCCCCCAUUUUUCUUAUUUUUAUUCCCAUUUUUUCACCAUUUUUGCCAUUUUUUUGCCGUUUAUUCCCAUUUUUUCCCCGUUUUUCCCCAUUUUUUCCCCGUUUAUUCCCAUUUUUGGGGUUUUUAUUCCCAUUUUCCCCCGUUUUUCCCAUUUUCCCCGGGUUUUUGCCCAGUUCUGGGUACCUGGUGUCCUGGUGCGUGCCCAGGCAGCGGCUGCAGCAGUACCUGGCCCCGCAGGUGA